This 100-nucleotide microRNA precursor is filed under the name Cercocebus atys (sooty mangabey). RNAcentral describes it as "miRNA (ENSCATG00000018923.1)". The record is from RNAcentral. Lineage: Eukaryota; Metazoa; Chordata; Mammalia; Primates; Cercopithecidae.
GAGGCAGGAGAAUUGCUUGAACCCAGGAGGUGGAGGUUGCAGUGAGCCGAGAUCGGGUCACUGCACUCCAGCCUGGGUGACAGAGCAAGACUCCGUCUCA